RNAcentral lists this long non-coding RNA (784 nucleotides) under Homo sapiens (human). RNAcentral describes it as "HSALNT0221470". Lineage: Eukaryota; Metazoa; Chordata; Mammalia; Primates; Hominidae. The record is from RNAcentral.
CCGGGCUGGGCGCUGUUUUGCUGAGUGACCUUGAGGAAAUCACUUCCCCUCUCUGGCCUCAGGCUCCCAGCCCAGAGGGUGGGACUUAGGAUCUCAAACUCCCUUCCCACUCCCAGUCACUAUCUGAAUAGGACUUAGGUGGGGAUUCGAGUGUUGGGACCCCAAUGGUCAUUAGCGAGGGCUGCCUCGAAUGACCAAGAAGGUUCUGUUGCCCACCUUGCCCUCAACACGCCUGGCUUUCGGGUCUUCUCGCUCCUCCCCCGACCUCAGUGCCCCUCACACCUUUCCCUGCCUCCUAUUCUGAGCCCGAAGGCUGGGGACGGAUGUAAUAGCCUAGAGGCUGGGGGAGGUGGGGGAGGUCGUCGUGACUCCCCCCGCACCCCCGCGCAGGUCAGUAGGGCGCGGCCUCUGGGUCGGUUUUCUCUUCUAUUUGAAAACCCAGCCGAUGGGGGCCCGCCCUGCUGCCACAGUAGAAACCCGCACCCACCUCGGGGAGCGCUGGAAGCGCUGCAGCCUGAAUCCGGCAGAGCCGCGGGAGAACUGGGUCCCUCCUCAGUGCCCCUUCUCCUGGACGGGGCGGAGGUUGCGGUGACCCGAGAUCUUGCCAUUGCACUCCAGCCAGGGCAACAAGAGCGAAACUCCGUCUCAAAAAAAGAAAAGAAAAAAGAAAAGCUGGAUUUGCAGUCACGGACUGGUUAGGAUCCCAGACCGUGGACAAGUGCCUGAGCCCCCAGAACCUCUGUGUGUCGACCUCCUGAAUUAGAGUGCCUUCUCUGUGUCGUGU